AGAGUAACAGCUCAGUGGUAGAGCGCACAUUCAGCGUGCAUGAGGUCCUGGGUUCAAUCCCCAGUACCUCCA
Molecule: transfer RNA, 72 nt
Filed under: Camelus bactrianus (Bactrian camel)
Lineage: Eukaryota; Metazoa; Chordata; Mammalia; Artiodactyla; Camelidae
Also listed under: 2 other names
Rfam family: tRNA
About the family: Transfer RNA (tRNA) molecules are approximately 80 nucleotides in length.
Source: Rfam by way of RNAcentral